UACGAAGGGGGCUAGCGUUGUUCGGAAUUACUGGGCGUAAAGCGCGUGUAGGCGGGUCUUUAAGUCAGGGGUGAAAUGCCAGGGCUCAACCUUGGAACUGCCUUUGAUACUGGAGACCUUGAGUCCGGGAGAGGUGAGUGGAAUUGCGAGUGUAGAGGUGAAAUUCGUAGAUAUUCGCAAGAACACCAGUGGCGAAGGCGGCUCACUGGCCCGGGAACUGACGCUGAGACGCGAAAGCGUGGGGAGCAAACAGG
RNAcentral lists this ribosomal RNA (254 nucleotides) under uncultured bacterium. RNAcentral's name for it is "partial 16S ribosomal RNA". It matches the Rfam family "Bacterial small subunit ribosomal RNA", at positions 524 to 776 of the family's 1533-position model. The record is from RNAcentral.